GAAAAGAAUCCCAGUUCAAAAAGUCCUUCUGUAGAUACCAAAGUUGUGUUAUCUCUCAUAAAUUCUGAAGGUCUAAUGGUAGCAAGCGAAGCUAACGUUGUUCUACAUAGAGAAAGUCUCAAAACAACAAAGGCAUCUUCCUGGAAAAUCACAGUCAGACUCAGGCAUGGAAAAAUGCAUGUGGUAGUGAACGCUCUUAACCCCACAUUUGACUCAAUGGUAAUGGCAGAGACCUAAUGGUAUUGGGGCUAGUUUCCAGUUGGUCACACUGUUGGAGUGGCACACUGCUUUCUGUUCCAAGAUCGUCUUUACAGCUUCAAUGGCACUAACAAGCCUGACCCAACAAUGGACCCAAUGUUGGUGAAAGAGUUGAAGCCAAAGUGUUGAUGCAGAAAACAUCAUAAUACUUGUUGGUUCAGCUCACACUUAACUCAUGCCACUCUUGUUCUUGCACGUGUCUUGACAUUGGUUUAGUCUGUUAAGCCAGUUAGUUUCAGUUUCUUGGUUUUAGUUGAGUCUGUCAUUCUGUUGUGUUCUGAUUGGUCCCAUGUGUCUAUUUAAGUGUAUCUGUUUCAUUGUAAUAAAAAGUGUGACAUAAGUGAGAUCAUUGUAAUACUAAGAAAUAGACUCUCUGCAUUGGAGAGUUGAACCUCUAUUUGGUGUUGUUUACUCUUUUGUUUGAUUAUGUUUUGGUAUA
Molecule: long non-coding RNA, 697 nt
Organism: Humulus lupulus (European hop)
Lineage: Eukaryota; Viridiplantae; Streptophyta; Magnoliopsida; Rosales; Cannabaceae
Exons: 3
Source: RefSeq, a predicted model, not a curated record